This 406-nucleotide ribosomal RNA is filed under the name uncultured bacterium. RNAcentral describes it as "partial 16S ribosomal RNA". It matches the Rfam family "Bacterial small subunit ribosomal RNA", at positions 30 to 526 of the family's 1533-position model. The record is from RNAcentral.
CUUGAACGCUGGCGGCCGGCCUAACACAUGCAAGUCGAACGAGUGGCGGACGGGUGAGUAAUGUCUGGGAAACUGCCUGAUGGAGGGGGAUAACUACUGGAAACGGUAGCUAAUACCGCAUACCAUCGGAUGUGCCCAUAUGGGAUUAGCUAGUAGGUGGGGUAAAGGAUCACCUAGGCGACGAACCCUAGCUGGUCUGAGAGGAUGACCAGCCACACGGGACCUGAGACACGUGCCAUACUCCUACGGGAGGCAGCAGUGGGGAAGAUUGCACAAUGGGCGCAAGCCUGAUGCAGCCAUGCCGCGUGUAUGAAGAAGUCCUUCGGGUUGUAAAGUACUUUCAGCGGGGAGGCGUUACCCGCAGAAGAAGCACCGGCUAACUCCGUGCCAGCAGCCGCGGUAAUAC